ACCUGAGCACUUUGUGAUGAAGACUGUAUUUUAAUAGAACCCUUCUUUGUUCUCGCUUCUGAUGGGGCAGAAAUGUGAUUUAGUAGCUUUACUGAAGAGGUAAUGCAUUUGAGGUCACCAUUUUCUUGGUUUCCAUUCUGGAAUGUGGACAAGACCGACGCGCUAUCCGUUUCAUCCAGCUGCAAAGGCUUGCUAUUGGGUUUCUCUCUGUGAUACUGUAAAGAACCAAAGCUAUUCUUCUGAACACCAUCUUGAAUAGAAGACUGGGCAGGAAGACUACUGGUGGUGUUCUGUCUUCUGAAGGGUAGUUUAUAGCUGUGAGUAUGUGACUUCUGUAGGAAAAACUGAGAGGGUCUCAAUAAGUGUUCAUUUGAUUUCCCCAAAUUCUUACUGAACUCAUUUAAGUAAUCUGAAUUGCCUUGAAGACCAAAAGGUAAAGCACUAUCAACACUUCUAGAUCUUUUACGGUCAUCUGGAUGAAUUCUAUUUCUUCUGGCUGAUCGGCCUCUUCUUUGUGCAGGGGUGUUGGAAUCAAAUUUCUCUAUCAGUUCAUCCACUGCAGGAAUGCACCCAGUAUCAAUAUCUCGGCCAGUGCCAGGCACAAACGGAAUGUACCGUCUAUUUUGAUGGCGGUUAACAUUAUCCGCGUACAGUGCAUCUUCUUGCUCCUCCAGCAAAAACCUUUGCAAUGAAUGAGAUGAGGUUGCAGUUGAGGAACAGGAGGACCUGCGUGACCUUGACCCCUCAAGAACUGGGCCUGCAGAAUCCUGUCUUCUGAAUUGAAGAACGUCUGGCCUUGCCUUUCUGGUUUCGGAAAGAGCAUUAAAAAGCUGCUGUGUGGGGACACUACUAGUAGAAAUCGAUUCAUUAGUUAUAUUUUCACUUGGGCUACUUAAAACACUUACAUUAGCUGGUGGGUUGUUUUGGUUUUCCUCCUUUGUAGA
Non-coding RNA from Pelobates cultripes (western spadefoot toad), 944 nucleotides. Lineage: Eukaryota; Metazoa; Chordata; Amphibia; Anura; Pelobatidae. The record is from the annotation of a GenBank genome assembly.